RNAcentral lists this ribosomal RNA (496 nucleotides) under uncultured bacterium. Its description in RNAcentral is "partial 16S ribosomal RNA". It matches the Rfam family "Bacterial small subunit ribosomal RNA", at positions 28 to 506 of the family's 1533-position model. The record is from RNAcentral.
GAUGAACGCUGGCGGCGUGCCUAAUACAUGCAAGUCGAGCGAACAGACGAGGAGCUUGCUCCUCUGACGUUAGCGGCGGACGGGUGAGUAACACGUGGAUAACCUACCUAUAAGACUGGGAUAACUUCGGGAAACCGGAGCUAAUACCGGAUAAUAUAUUGAACCGCAUGGUUCAAUAGUGAAAGACGGUUUUGCUGUCACUUAUAGAUGGAUCCGCGCCGCAUUAGCUAGUUGGUAAGGUAACGGCUUACCAAGGCAACGAUGCGUAGCCGACCUGAGAGGGGAGCGGGCACACUGGAACAUAAACACGGGCCAAACCCCCACGGGAGGGAAGAGGAGGGAAAUUUCCGCAAAGGGGGGAAACCCUGCGGGACAAACCCGCGUGAGGGAAUAAAGGCUUUGGAUUGGAAAAACCCUUUUUUUGGGGAAAAAAAAAUUGUAAAUAAACAAUCACGUUUUUGAGGGUACCAAUCCAAAAAGCCCCGGAAAACUCCGG